AGGCGGCGCUUGGCAGAAACUUGAACAUUAGCUUUCCUGGGCGUCAUUUUGAGUUUGCCAGGCACGUGGAAAGAGCAGCAUUGAACUGCAGCGCCUAGCCGCAUCAAUCUCUGUGGAUGUCAUGGCACAACGCUUCCUCACUUUGGAGGCAGCAAUUGACCUUUUGUUCAGCCUUCCCGAUGACGAACGCGAAGGUGCGUCUGUAUGCCAAUUGCCGCCUCUUGAAGAUGGCAAUAUUACUGACGAGGAGCACGUGAACGAAAACGACUUUUCUGAAGUUGUUCCCGAUGAUGUUUGUGGGCACGUUGAAGUUAUGCAGUGCAGCGAUGAAGACGUUGAUUCGCCUUCUGCAUCUUCGAGCCCUGAGCCACGACGAAAGAAGCCAGCGGGGCGGCAAUUCACUGCUGGAAAAGGACGCAAGGCUUCAACGAAGGCUCGGAAAACAAAUACUCCAAAGCGCUCCCAUACACCAGUAUGGGGUGACCGUGCCAC
Long non-coding RNA from Rhipicephalus sanguineus (brown dog tick), 492 nucleotides. RefSeq lists it as uncharacterized. NCBI's taxonomy places the organism in Eukaryota, Metazoa, Arthropoda, Arachnida, Ixodida, Ixodidae. The record is from RefSeq and is a predicted model, not a curated record. The transcript has 2 exons.